AUACAGAGGGUGCGAGCGUUAAUCGGAAUUACUGGGCGUAAAGCGCGCGUAGGCGGCUACUUAAGUCAGAUGUGAAAUCCCCGGGCUCAACCUGGGAACUGCAUCUGAUACUGGGUAGCUAGAGUUUAGGAGAGGGAAGUAGAAUUUCAGGUGUAGCGGUGAAAUGCAUAGAGAUCUGAAGGAAUACCAGUGGCGAAGGCGGCUUCCUGGCCUAAAACUGACGCUGAGGUGCGGAAGCGUGGGUAGCAAACGGGAUUAGAAACCCCGGUAGUCC
Molecule: ribosomal RNA, 274 nt
Filed under: uncultured bacterium
Lineage: Bacteria
Description: partial 16S ribosomal RNA
Rfam family: Bacterial small subunit ribosomal RNA
Source: RNAcentral